Molecule: long non-coding RNA, 747 nt
Organism: Capsicum annuum
Lineage: Eukaryota; Viridiplantae; Streptophyta; Magnoliopsida; Solanales; Solanaceae
Exons: 2
Source: RefSeq, a predicted model, not a curated record
UUCUCGAGCAUAGGAUGAUCUCUUUGUGAAUAUUUCAUGAUUUUGUGGGAUAUUGGAGAUGCCUCUUUAAGAGAAUAUUUAAUCCUUUAUAUAAGUGUAAUUUAGGGUUAAGGUGGAGUAACCUGUAAGUUAGGCAGACCGCUCUCUCUCUCCCGGAUUUAAUGCCCAACAACUUAAAAGCUAACAUCAUCGCUGCGUGAGUUCACACGACACCGCCAUGGAGCCAUCUAUGGCGGGAAAACAGUGCAUAGUGCAUAUCACUCAGUCGAAUGAUCCCCCACCAACUUCAAUUAACGAUAAUAGCGGCAGCACCCAGAAACUUUCAUAUCUUCAAGCUCUCAAUGAAGCCUGUACUGAAAAUUCUCCAUUAAAAAUCAAGUGGUAGCCAAACACACAACCCACAAUGGUAAACCAGCUAUGAUCUUCAAAGCUACUGACUAUUAUGGUGUAAUGGCGGCGGAAUGUAAAUUAACUUUGGUCAGCAAAUUCACGACGGGGAGGCCCAGAAUUGAGCUUAUCCGACCAAAAUUCUUGGAACAAACUCCCUUAACGGGCAAGGGCUCCUAUCAAGGAAUCCUAUAACCACUUAUUUACAGAUGGAGAAAUGGCAAGAAGAUCCUGACAAUGGGUUUCAAGACCACUUGAUAUUGACUUCAAUAGUCACAAUAUUAUUCAAAUUCUAGACAACUGAUGGAAAGCUAAUACCAACAAUGUUGUUCACAAUUUGAUAAUAAUCGUUAUGCCAAA